GCCGCUACGUGGCCGGUCUGGCCGCACC
RNAcentral lists this small RNA (28 nucleotides) under Bombyx mori (domestic silkworm). RNAcentral describes it as "ovarian small RNA-16708". Lineage: Eukaryota; Metazoa; Arthropoda; Insecta; Lepidoptera; Bombycidae. The record is from RNAcentral.